GUAGGGAAUAUUGGGCAAUGGAUGCAAGUCUGACCCAGCCAUCCCGCGUGCCGGAAGAAGGCCCUCAGGGUUGUAAACGGCUUUUGACGGUGAAGAAUCGACAGGAUGCGUCCUGUUUUGACGGUAGCCGUUGAAUAAGCACCGGCUAACUCCGUGCCAGCAGCCGCGGUAAUACGGAGGGUGCGAGCGUAGUCCGGAUUUAUUGGGUUUAAAGGGUGCGUAGGCUGGAAGGUCAGUCAGCGGUGAAAAGCUGUCGCUUAACGAUAGUCUUGCGGAAGAUACUUCCUUUCUUGGAUGAGGAGGAGGCCACUGGAGCGGAUGGUGUAGCGGUGAAAUGCAUAGAUAUCAUCCAGAACACCGAUUGCGAAGGCAGGUGGCUGUACCUUAAUCGACGCUGAUGCACGAAAGCAUGGGGAGCAAACAGGAUUAGAAACCCGGGUAGUCC
This 445-nucleotide ribosomal RNA is filed under the name uncultured bacterium. Its description in RNAcentral is "bacterial SSU rRNA". It matches the Rfam family "Bacterial small subunit ribosomal RNA", at positions 354 to 796 of the family's 1533-position model. The record is from RNAcentral.